RNAcentral lists this ribosomal RNA (142 nucleotides) under Streptomyces sp. PsTaAH-130. Its description in RNAcentral is "partial 23S ribosomal RNA". It matches the Rfam family "Bacterial large subunit ribosomal RNA", at positions 2784 to 2925 of the family's 2925-position model. Lineage: Bacteria; Bacillati; Actinomycetota; Actinomycetes; Kitasatosporales; Streptomycetaceae. The record is from RNAcentral.
AGCGGGAAGCCUGCUUCGAGAUGAGGACUCCCACCCACUUGAUGGGGUAAGGCUCCCAGUAGACGACUGGGUUGAUAGGCCGGAUCUGGAAGCCAGGUAACUGGUGGAGGUGACCGGUACUAAUAGGCCGAGGGCUUGUCCU